Molecule: non-coding RNA, 2597 nt
Organism: Cyanistes caeruleus (blue tit)
Lineage: Eukaryota; Metazoa; Chordata; Aves; Passeriformes; Paridae
Source: RefSeq, a predicted model, not a curated record
GCCCGGCGGCCUCUGCCGGGGCCGGGUGCUUCGCCGCCUGCCAGAACUUUUCCCCCUGAUACUCCCUCCAGGGGAGGCCCAACGGGACCGGCUGUGCUGCAGGGAAUACCCUGUCCUUUUGCUUCCCUCACAGGCAGUCAUGUUCUGAGUGUUUCUGGAGCUGCCUGAGGAUUGCCACAGCGCUUGAGCAAUCGCGCGCGGCCAGGAGGGGAACUCCGGCAGCCACAGGUCGGUGAGGAACGAGCGGGCUCCUGCCAGACCGCAAAUCCCAGAGCGCAGCCGGGGAGGGCUGUUUUCAGCAGAAAAACACGAGUUUGUCAAAAACAAACCUCUCUGCAGGAGCUCUAGGAUGAAAUUGCAUGCCAUAUACCCCGGUUUAUUGCCUCCGGGGCAUUAGCCGUUGGCAGGAUAUUUUGGCUAAUAUUUGACAGCCUGAGCAUUCGUCCCUGAACAUUCUCAGCAGGACAGUUUGCCGACCACUCCCUCCAGCCCUGUCGAACAGCAUUUGCAAUGGAUCUUCCAAGCAGAUGACCAAGUCCUGAAUCCCUCAAGCCAAAGGAACACAGAAUAUGCAUUGGCUGCUCUUGGCAGGGUAAGACCCAAAUCAGUUACUCAGGAGGUAAGGAAGUAGAAAAAUUAAUUGUAAAUGUUCUUUAGUACAUUGUUAGAAAUAGACUAUACUGUUCCUAAAAGUUAUGAGUAGUGAGUUUUAAGAUAGAUGUACUAUCAAAAAAGGGUGUAUCAGUGUAUUCCCCAAAAUAAGGAAAGAAUUUGGAACUCUGUGUGUGGGGAGUGUGGUUGUAAGGCAAGACAGUACCAGUUUAAUUCCUUGUUAGGUCUAUUGCAUGAUGGUGGUUUUUUUAGCAUGAUUAAACCCUUAUUUAAGGCAGGGCUUGCAGAGUUUGGCAGUAGAUCUUGGAGAUAGAGAGGGCUGCUCUGCUCUGGGAAGUGGAGGGGGAAACCUGAAAGCAGUGGAAGAGUACUGGGUCUGCUCUUCUGCAAAAUAAAAAACCACAGCAUGUGAGUAAUCCGAUCUUCAGUCAUCAAAGUAUGUGUUCAAGUCAUUCUCAGAAUAAUGAUGGGAUUACUCACAGGGGGAAGGUUAAGUGCUUUUGCUGAACUCAUACAUCUCAACAGAAGCCACAGUAUUCUAUGCAGGUCUUUCUGGAGGUUUUCUCUGCAAACACUAGAACACCCGCAGGAUUGUAAGGAACAUAAAGACUCCUUUCUGCUUUCUAUGUAAUUAUCUCAGAGAAACUACCUAAACUUAAAUUUACUGAUUUUUGCUUGCUUCAAAGCAUGUUAAUCCUCAUAUAGGAUAUUAUUUUCUCCUAAUACCAGGACCAAAUUCUAGGACAGUGGAGUGAAGAAAUAAAAUCUUUUAUAACGGGAUAUAAACCAUUAUUCUGGUUUCAGAAGUCAUUGAAACUAAUAAAACUGUGCAGAUAUAAUUGAAAAAUAUGACCAUUAAUUUCUACAGCAUAUAGAAUAUCUACAGUAAUAUAAAUAUCUUUCUGGGUGGGUACAUGGCAAAGAUCAAGGAAGACUUAUUUUGAUGAGACCAUGCCAUGAGAAUGAGGGCCUAAACACUGAUUUCAAACCAGGGAGGACUGAAUUCACACAACUCAGGAAAGAGAGGGCUGUCUGAAACUCAACGUGCAGAAGUUCCUGUGCUGCUCCCCUGAAACCAAGGGUGGUCAAGCAAAGGAGAUGCAGAUCCUCAGACAAGGAAGAAACCCACAGGUCUAGAGAUAGACUGACAAAUAAAAGGGAGGUGUGAGAAAGCCAUGAAAGAAGCAGCCAGAAUGACGCAUUCUUAUCCAUCAGUUUUCUAUGGUCCAGAGUCAUAAAGCAGAACCACUGCACCAACAGUAGUGUUGAUGCACACAUGAGGUGUAGCAGCAGUGGGAUGUUUUGACACUUUGACUAAAACUAUUACAAAUAACUCUUCUAUAGAUCAGUGUCCUCCAGCUACCAUCUUUUAAAUUACAUUUUUCUAACUGGUUUUGUGUGAUAUAAUAAGGAAAAAAUGAGUUAUAGAUAUAUAUCUAUGAGAAAAUGGUGAAUAGGAACCGUUUCUAUCAAAAAUUAAUAACUAAAUCCACUUCUGUGUAGAGAGUCUGAAUAAGAGCUAUAUGCCAUUUAUUCUUUUCCACUGAGGACUAUGAAGACCUUGAUAGAGGCAUUUGGCAAAGUUGCUGGUCUGGUUCUUAGAAGUUAUGAAAAAUCUGAUGCUAGAUCUGAGCUAAGUGAGAAAGGGAGCACUGAAAAAAAUGGUGUGGAAUGAAUAUGACUUUAAAUGGGAUCAGGCAGUUUAGUUUUACCUAAACUAAAACAGCAGUAGAUCCAGUGAACACUUCUUUUUCUAAACCCCUAAUAAAAAUACAUUUGCCAUUCAACAGAAUGAAUAUACAAACUAUUUGCAUAUUUUGCAAACUUAGUAUUAUUUUUUCAGUCAGAAGCUGUGCCACAGAAUACUUUCCUUUGUUAGCAAUGGCACCAUUUCUAGUAGAAAACUUGAAAAAAAAAAAAAAAAGAAUAAAUUAGUUUAAAAUUAUUGAUAUGACCUGAUGCAAUGUUAAGGCUUCUCUCUUGAA